GCAAACUUGGUCAUUUAGAGGAAGUAAAAGUCGUAACAAGGUUUCCGUAGGUGAACCUGCGGAAGGAUCAUUACCAAAGUGGUUAUUUUAACCAUAAACAGAUCCCACUUGUGUGCACUCAUUGGAGCCUUUCAUGGUUCCCAACCUCUUUUUCCUUCUUUUUUUUAUUUUGUCUGAUCUUUGAAUCAUAUUUUGAUUUAAAAAAAAAUACAACUUUCAACAACGGAUCUCUUGGCUCUCGCAUCGAUGAAGAACGCAGC
This 260-nucleotide unclassified non-coding RNA is filed under the name uncultured fungus. Its description in RNAcentral is "partial contains small subunit ribosomal RNA, internal transcribed spacer 1, and 5.8S ribosomal RNA". The stretch from base 1 to 73 matches the Rfam family "Eukaryotic small subunit ribosomal RNA", at positions 1759 to 1831 of the family's 1831-position model. The record is from RNAcentral. Lineage: Eukaryota; Fungi.